Molecule: unclassified non-coding RNA, 314 nt
Filed under: plant metagenome
Description: partial contains 5.8S ribosomal RNA, internal transcribed spacer 2, and large subunit ribosomal RNA
Rfam family: 5.8S ribosomal RNA (bases 1-105)
Source: RNAcentral
GAAAUGCGAUAAUUAAUGUGAAUUGCAGAAUUCAGUGAAUCAUCGAGUCUUUGAACGCACAUUGCGCCCCCUGGUAUUCCGGGGGGCAUGCCUGUCCGAGCGUCAUUGCUGCCCUCCAGCACGGCUUGUGUGUUGGGCUUCCGUCCCUGGCAACGGGGACGGGCCCAAAAGGCAGUGGCGGCACCAUGUCUGGUCCUCGAGCGUAUGGGGCUUUGUCACCCGCUCCCGUAGGUCCAGCUGGCAGCUAGCCUCGCAACCAAUCUUUUUAACCAGGUUGACCUCGGAUCAGGUAGGGAUACCCGCUGAACUUAAGC